Molecule: ribosomal RNA, 930 nt
Filed under: uncultured bacterium
Lineage: Bacteria
Description: bacterial SSU rRNA
Rfam family: Bacterial small subunit ribosomal RNA
Source: RNAcentral
CCCAGAUGGGAUUAGCUAGUAGGUGGGGUAACGGCUCACCUAGGCGACGAUCCCUAGCUGGUCUGAGAGGAUGACCAGCCACACUGGAACUGAGACACGGUCCAGACUCCUACGGGAGGCAGCAGUGGGGAAUAUUGCACAAUGGGCGCAAGCCUGAUGCAGCCAUGCCGCGUGUAUGAAGAAGGCCUUCGGGUUGUAAAGUACUUUCAGCGGGGAGGAAGGUGUUGAGGUUAAUAACCUCAGCAAUUGACGUUACCCGCAGAAGAAGCACCGGCUAACUCCGUGCCAGCAGCCGCGGUAAUACGGAGGGUGCAAGCGUUAAUCGGAAUUACUGGGCGUAAAGCGCACGCAGGCGGUCUGUCAAGUCGGAUGUGAAAUCCCCGGGCUCAACCUGGGAACUGCAUUCGAAACUGGCAGGCUAGAGUCUUGUAGAGGGGGGUAGAAUUCCAGGUGUAGCGGUGAAAUGCGUAGAGAUCUGGNAGGAAUACCGGUGUCGAAGGCGGCCCCCUGGACAAAGACUGACGCUCAGGUGCGAAAGCGUGGGGAGCAGACAGGAUUAGAUACCCUGGUAGUCCACGCCGUAAACGAUGUCGACUUGGAGGUUGUGCCCUUGAGGCGUGGCUUCCGGAGCUAACGCGUUAAGUCGACCGCCUGGGGAGUACGGCCGCNANAGGUUAAAACUCAAAUGAAUUGACGGGGGCCCGCACAAGCGGUGGAGCAUGUGGUUUAAUUCGAUGCAACGCGAAGAACCUUACCUACUCUUGACAUCCAGAGAACUUUCCAGAGAUGGAUUGGUGCCUUCGGGAACUCUGAGACAGGUGCUGCAUGGCUGUCGUCAGCUCGUGUUGUGAAAUGUUGGGUUAAGUCCCGCAACGAGCGCAACCCUUAUCCUUUGUUGCCAGCGGUCCGGCCGGGAACUCAAAGGAGACU